AGCAGUAGCCGCGGUAAUACGGAGGGAGCUAGCGUUGUUCGGAAUUACUGGGCGUAAAGCGCACGUAGGCGGCUUUGUAAGUUAGAGGUGAAAGCCUGGAGCUCAACUCCAGAACUGCCUUUAAGACUGCAUCGCUUGAAUCCAGGAGAGGUGAGUGGAAUUCCGAGUGUAGAGGUGAAAUUCGUAGAUAUUCGGAAGAACACCAGUGGCGAAGGCGGCUCACUGGACUGGUAUUGACGCUGAGGUGCGAAAGCGUGGGGAGCAAACAGGAUUAGAUACCCCCGUAGUCCCUGUCUCUUAUAC
RNAcentral lists this ribosomal RNA (303 nucleotides) under uncultured bacterium. RNAcentral's name for it is "partial 16S ribosomal RNA". It matches the Rfam family "Bacterial small subunit ribosomal RNA", at positions 507 to 807 of the family's 1533-position model. The record is from RNAcentral.